GCCGGGUGCAGUGGUGCAGGCCUGUAGUUCCAGCUACUCAAGAGGCUGAAGUAAGAGGAUCACUGGAGCCCAGGGGUUCUGGGCUGUACUGUGCUAUGCUGAUCAGGUGUCCACACUAAGUUCACCAUCAAUAUGAUGACCUCCCAGGUGGGAAAUGGAGCAAGUGAAAACUCCCGUGCUGAUCAGUAGUGGGAUCAUGUCUGUGAAUAACCACUGCACUCCAACUGGGCAACAUAGCAAGACCCCAUCUCU
Molecule: signal recognition particle RNA, 252 nt
Filed under: Gorilla gorilla gorilla (western lowland gorilla)
Lineage: Eukaryota; Metazoa; Chordata; Mammalia; Primates; Hominidae
Description: Metazoan signal recognition particle RNA (ENSGGOG00000041205.1)
Rfam family: Metazoan signal recognition particle RNA
About the family: The signal recognition particle (SRP) is a universally conserved ribonucleoprotein. It is involved in the co-translational targeting of proteins to membranes.
Source: RNAcentral